UAGAACAGAUGGACCGACUUCAGAUUCAAACCUUUUGUUUGCUGAAUAUGAAGUAUUGAGUGUGUGGUGCUUGUUUUCUUUCGCCGUUGUUGAUAUGUCACUAGCACUUGUCUAUCCGGUUGUCAAACCGUAACAUGUCUUUAAGAGUGUGUAUUAUGGUUUGCUGGGUGAGACUGCUCGCUUGUAUUCUCUUUGUUAAGUCAGUUUGCCUGUCCGUGUCCAGCUUCUGAAUAUAGCUGAAUUCUUUAUUUGUGUGAUCCCCCUUGAGCAGAAAAUUCUCCCUGAUUUUGUGUUCUUGUCAUGUACUCCUUCCGUUCCAUAUUACUUUGUACUAAAUCAGCGAUGAGUAAUAUGGAACGGAGGGAGUAUGUAUAUAGUAUAUACUGCAACUGCAUGUUAUAAUUCUUCUUGCUGCGUGCUUAGUAGUCUGUGAUCGGAUCUUCAAUUCUAUGCACAUGCCUGCGCGCUCUAUGCUGCAUCAGUGCAGUACGUUUACUGCGUGGUCAUGAUCAUGUGGUUUAUCCUUUCAUUCUUGGAUACCUUGAUCUGUCACAGUAUCCAGAGCACGGAGGUCACAUGGAUGUCGGUUUUGGUUAACUACAACUUGUAAGCCACAUUUCUUUUGCUCUGUAAUCAUUUUGCUUUAGAUCUGGUUUUCCCAUGGUCAAGUUGCCUUUAUCCUCUGCAUCUCUUCGCUUGUCUGCAUUCUCUGUUCUAUAUUGUUUCUGAGUUUACAGCCAAAGACUGGUGCGUCGAUUAAUGUGUUUCAACAGCACAUGAUGCUGAAAAGAUGCCAUCACUUCAUGCAAUUCCAAAUGCGUUUUGCAAUUAGCCAAUUGGUUGCAGCGUCAUGCCCGAGAGACCCACAGGCCUGGCAGAGAAUAGACUUGUGGAAGGUACAUGAUAGGAACACAUAAGGUAGAGAACUAAAAAAUGUUGAGAUAUUAUUGUUAAAAAAACUAAAUACGAUCGUAUCUGGGUGCGCACACCUGGUUUUGAGAUAAAAAUUUGGCAUACAAAACUGAGCCAAAAAUUGUAUUCUGUAAGAGAAAUAAUAAAAAGAGAGUGCCCAAAAUCGACUGCAAAUGCACAUACUUUUUUCAUGUGGUGUCUAAAUCAACGUAGUAUUGAUUUUUUUUCAUGACACCAGAUUAUUUUCAUCCAACAAUUAUUUCGCAGAUUUUCAAAAGUCAAAACCCUUGACGGGGAAACUCAUCUAGCUGGAGCACUAACAUUUUCUAAGAAAGUACAAAGUGUGCUGCUUGUAUACAUUCUGAGAGCAUCUCCGAUAAAAAAUGUAGAUGCAAAAAUACCUUUUGCAUCUCCGAGGGUCAAAAACACCUCUCCAACUUCCCACAAAAAAAA
This 1365-nucleotide long non-coding RNA is filed under the name Triticum aestivum (bread wheat). RNAcentral's name for it is "long non-coding RNA (TAES_LNC015018)". Lineage: Eukaryota; Viridiplantae; Streptophyta; Magnoliopsida; Poales; Poaceae. The record is from RNAcentral.